AGCGGGAGCAGGAGGAGAAGGGGUUGUUCCUGGAGUUAUGCCCCACACUAGGGCACCGAUGUUACAGUAAAGAGCUGGGGGGAGGGAUAUAAACGAUUCUAGGGGAUUUUUUGCAGGCCCUGGAGUGUGCUCUGGUGUUGUGGAAACAUGAAUACCCUCAUUUUACAGAUGCAUAAUGCCUGACGCUGAGCCCUUUGAGCACACUCUUUGCUCUCCAUGCGGAUGAUCCCRUGUCAUAUGUGGGGGAAACGCCUGCACGCUGACUAGAUCCGAUGGAGCCGAGCGCUUGAAACUGCUCUGGAAGUGGUGGUGCAGGUCCCCUACCUCUCCUGGGCUCUCUAGAGCCUGGGAAUGCUGACACCUUAAUGAGCCUCCCGCGGAGCACCCUGGGGCCCGGAUCACAGGAUGGCGCCUCUGAGGGAACAUAAGGACUGAAGAAUCUGGGGAUUGCAUAAGAGAAGCCACUUCAGAUUACUGCACGUUUCAAAUUGGCCUCAAAGAGGCUGGGCUGCCUGGUGUUGGGAAGAAUCGGAUUCAAGGAAUCGAGAGCAGGAAAUGCCUUUUGAGGUCAUGUGGCCUAUCUGCUAGACACGAUUCAUUUUGCUUCUGCACUGAGAAGAGCAGCAGUUUAAAAAUGCCAACAGAGCUAUGGGAGAAAAGCAAAAGUGGGCAAAGGUGAACUUAAAUUAGUGACAGCAGAUUGUCAGAGAGUAAUCAAAAUAUAUCUAAGUUUUGAUUUUAGAAUUUGCAUGAACAGUGACAGCCAUUAUGUGUGCAUGUGGGUCAUGUUUUA
This 793-nucleotide long non-coding RNA is filed under the name Apteryx rowi (Okarito brown kiwi). Its description in RNAcentral is "lncRNA (ENSARWG00000018924.1)". The record is from RNAcentral. Lineage: Eukaryota; Metazoa; Chordata; Aves; Apterygiformes; Apterygidae.